RNAcentral lists this ribosomal RNA (660 nucleotides) under Triticum aestivum (bread wheat). RNAcentral's name for it is "partial small subunit ribosomal RNA". Lineage: Eukaryota; Viridiplantae; Streptophyta; Magnoliopsida; Poales; Poaceae. The record is from RNAcentral.
AUGGACCAAGAGCUGCCGCUCGGGCUCGGCGACUUCUCCCUCGCCUCCCUCUGGCCGCUGCUCCCGCCGGAUCUCCAAUCUACUUCUUACCCAGACCAAGAGAUCGUGGAGGAGGUGAGGCGGAGGCUGGCCGCGGCCACGGCGGAGCUGGAGGCAGCCAAGGAGGAGGUGCGCCGCAAGGAGCAGAGCAUCGCCGCCCUGGUGGAGCUCGUGCGCCGCACGGCCGAGGAGCGCGACCAGCUCCAGCAGCACCUUGACCAGCUCCGGCAGCACCUGCUCCUGGCCGCGACAACGUCAAGCAGCUGCGACUCAGGCGCCAGCGUCCCAACCUUCGCCUUGGAGCACAGCCAUCGCCAUAGAUAUCAGGAGCGCGCCGUUGACAGGAGCACAGCCAUCGCCAUAGAUAUCAGGAGCGCGCCAGUUGCCAUCGACGACAACAGGACCGCGGCGGUGCUCGAGCAGCUGGCGGCCAAGAGGCCAUUGCCACAAAGGGGGCAGCUGCUGCAGGCGGUAAUGGAGGCAGGGCCUCUCCUGGAGAACCUGCUGGUGGCAGGGCCAGUGCCGCAGUGGCGCAACCCGCCACCUGUGCAGCCAAUCCCCAGCCCCGUCAUAUCGGCGCCUUCAGGCUCUCGUGCUCCCAUGGGUUGGGGGCCAUGGUAG